RNAcentral lists this ribosomal RNA (1082 nucleotides) under Chamaethrix vaginata. Its description in RNAcentral is "16S ribosomal RNA". It matches the Rfam family "Bacterial small subunit ribosomal RNA", at positions 433 to 1531 of the family's 1533-position model. RNAcentral also lists the same sequence under 1 other name. The record is from RNAcentral. Lineage: Bacteria; Bacillati; Cyanobacteriota; Cyanophyceae; Leptolyngbyales; Leptolyngbyaceae.
CUUUUGUUCGGGAAGAAGAUCUGACGGUACCGAACGAAUCAGCAUCGGCUAACUCCGUGCCAGCAGCCGCGGUAAUACGGAGGAUGCAAGCGUUAUCCGGAAUUAUUGGGCGUAAAGCGUCCGCAGGUGGUUGUUCAAGUCUGCUGUCAAAGCGUGGAGCUUAACUCCAUACCGGCAGUGGAAACUGGAUGACUAGAGUUCGGUAGGGGUUGCGGGAAUUCCCAGUGUAGCGGUGAAAUGCGUAGAUAUUGGGAAGAACACCGGCGGCGAAAGCGCGCAACUGGGCCGAGACUGACACUGAGGGACGAAAGCUAGGGGAGCGAAAGGGAUUAGAUACCCCUGUAGUCCUAGCUGUAAACGAUGGGCACUAGGUGUUGACCGUAUCGACCCGGUCAGUGCCGUAGCUAACGCGAUAAGUGCCCCGCCUGGGGAGUACGCACGCAAGUGUGAAACUCAAAGGAAUUGACGGGGGCCCGCACAAGCGGUGGAGUAUGUGGUUUAAUUCGAUGCAACGCGAAGAACCUUACCAGGGCUUGACAUGUCUGGGACCUCUGGGAAACUAGAGGGUGCCUUCGGGAACCAGAACACAGGUGGUGCAUGGCUGUCGUCAGCUCGUGUCGUGAGAUGUUGGGUUAAGUCCCGCAACGAGCGCAACCCUCGUCCUUAGUUGCCAGCAUUUAGUUGGGCACUCUGAGGAGACUGCCGGUGACAAACCGGAGGAAGGUGGGGAUGACGUCAAGUCAGCAUGCCCCUUACGUCCUGGGCUACACACGUACUACAAUGCUGUGGACAAAGAGUUGCAAGCACGCGAGUGCAAGCCAAUCUCGUAAACCACGGCUCAGUUCAGAUUGCAGGCUGCAACUCGCCUGCAUGAAGGCGGAAUCGCUAGUAAUCGCCGGUCAGCAUACGGCGGUGAAUACGUUCCCGGGCCUUGUACACACCGCCCGUCACACCAUGGGAGUUGGCCACGCCCGAAGUCGUUACUCCAACCGAAAGGAGGGGAACGCCGAAGGCAGGGCUGAUGACUGGGGUGAAGUCGUAACAAGGUAGCCGUACCGGAAGGUGUGGCUGGAUCACCUCCU